Molecule: ribosomal RNA, 253 nt
Filed under: uncultured bacterium
Lineage: Bacteria
Description: partial 16S ribosomal RNA
Rfam family: Bacterial small subunit ribosomal RNA
Source: RNAcentral
UACGUAGGGGGCAAGCGUUGUCCGGAUUUAUUGGGCGUAAGGAGCGUGUAGGCGGCUUUACAGGUCCGUUGUGAAAACUCGAGGCUCAACCUCGAGACGCCGGUGGAAACCGUAAAGCUAGAGUCCGGAAGAGGAGAGUGGAAUUCCUGGUGUAGCGGUGAAAUGCGCAGAUAUCAGGAGGAACACCAAUGGCGAAGGCAGCUCGCUGGAACGGUACUGACGCUGAGGCGCGAAAGCGUGGGGAGCGAACAGG